GUGCUUGCUUUGGCAGCACACAUACCAAAAAUUUGAACAAGAGAAGAUUAACAUGACCCUUGUGCAAGGAUGACAUGCAAAUUCACAAAGUGUUCCAUAUUUUU
This 104-nucleotide small nuclear RNA is filed under the name Notamacropus eugenii (tammar wallaby). The record is from RNAcentral. Lineage: Eukaryota; Metazoa; Chordata; Mammalia; Diprotodontia; Macropodidae.